This 805-nucleotide unclassified non-coding RNA is filed under the name Hevea brasiliensis (rubber tree). Lineage: Eukaryota; Viridiplantae; Streptophyta; Magnoliopsida; Malpighiales; Euphorbiaceae. The record is from RNAcentral.
GUUUAACAUGGAUAUUUUUCUUAUUUUUUCUUUAAUAUUUUUUUUAUUUGUUUUGUUUGUUCGCUAAGAAAAUAUAGGAGAUUUACUGGUUAGUUGUUUCAUCGUCCAUGUCUCUUAUUGGUUUGUUUAAGGUGUUCUGUCCCUGUGGAGGUUGAUAUGAUAAACUAGAGUUAGUACUUCAGUUAGAGCUCUAGAUUUUUAGUGAUUUCAUCGUCUAUUUCUCUUAUUGGUCUGUUUAAGGUGUUUUGGUCUGUUUAAGGUGUUUUCUCCCUGUGUAGGUUGAUAUGAUAAACUAGGGUAGUACUUCAGUUAGAGCUAUAGAAUUUUAGUGAUUUCCCCAUGUAUUAUUUUGGGUGGUUUCGAGCAUAUAUCAGGUUUCACAGUUCAAUCUAAGAAUUUGAUUGCAAGUUGGAAACAAAAUUAGGGGAAUAGCUUGUAGGUAGCUUCAUAUUGUGAUUAUUGAUAAGUGUGCACAAAUGACUUAGAUGGUCAGAGCUACAUGCUAUUUGAUGUUUCCGUACUUCAUUUCCCUGGCCAUCCCUGAGAAUUUGUUCUCUACUUGCUUUCUGAAUAACUGGAAAAGCUUCUUUUGAAGGGUAAAAGGAAAAGAAAUGAUUUGGUCUGUUAGUUCCCAUGGAAAGAAACAACUUGAGUCAAUAAUUUGACGUAGUCAUUUAUCUUGAAAGAGUUCUCAAAGAAUAAAUCAGUUAUGCUUAAUGGGUAAGGUUGGUUUAUUUAGAAUCUAAUUUGACUGACACUAUCAUUUGGUUCACGAUGAUGAAGGGAAAAUGGACUGAUUGAAACA